This 1002-nucleotide ribosomal RNA is filed under the name Unicapsula seriolae. RNAcentral describes it as "SSU rRNA". It matches the Rfam family "Eukaryotic small subunit ribosomal RNA", at positions 581 to 1640 of the family's 1831-position model. Lineage: Eukaryota; Metazoa; Cnidaria; Myxozoa; Multivalvulida; Trilosporidae. The record is from RNAcentral.
AAUUCCAGCUCCAGUAGUGUAUAUCACUGAUGUUGCGGUUAAAACGCUCGUAGUUGGAUUACAAAAGCUCGAUGGAGCUUAAGCCCAAGUGGUUUGAGUUUUGUGGGGUUUUUUUAUCGCGAGAGCCGUGUGUGGGAUUAAUUUUUUGUACACGGUCACUUGCGGAGUGUGCCUUGAAUAAAGCACAGUGCUCAAAGCAGGCGUACGCUCGAAUGUUAUAGCAUGGAACGAAUAUAUUGACCAAGUCGAUUGUUGGUUGUUGACGGGGUCUCGAUUAAAAGGAACAUUUGAGGGCGUUGGUACUUGGUGGCGAGAGGUGAAAUUCUUAGACCCACCAAAGACUCACAAAUGCGAAAGCAUUCGCCAAGAGUGUUUUCAUUAAUCAAGAACGAAAGUCAGAGGUUCGAAGACGAUCAGAUACCGUCGUAGUUCUGACAGUAAACGAUGCCAACCUGGGGUUAGUCCAGUGCUAUCUAGAUUGGUCCCUCGGCAAAAGCUAGUUUUUCGGCUCCGGGGAGAGUAUUCACGCAAGUGAAAAAUUUAAAGAAAUUGACGGAAUGGCACCACCAGGAGUGGAGCCUGCGGCUUAAUUUGACUCAACACGGGGAAACUCACCAGGUCCAGACAUUGACAGGAUUGACAGACUAAGAGAUCUUUCAUGAUACGAUGAUUGGUGGUGCAUGGCCGUUCUUAGUUGGUGGAGUGAUCUGUCAGGUUUAUUCCGGUAACGAACGAGACCACGAUCUCUAAUUGAAACGGUCAUUUUGUUUUGGCCAAUCUUAGAGAGACAACCGGGAUCAACCCGGGGGAAGCGUGGCAAUAACAGGUCUGUGAUGCCCUUCGAUGUUCUGGGCUGCACGCGCGCUACAAUGGCAGUGACAACGAGUGCCUGCUCUGAGAGGAGUGGGAAAUCUUGAAAAUCGCUGUCGUGAUUGGGAUUGAGCCUUGUAAUAAUUGCUCAUGAAAGAGGAAUUCCUCGUAAGCGCGAGUCAUCAGCUCGUG